AUUAGGAAUCUUGCGCAAUGGGGGCAACCCUGACGCAGCGACGCCGCGUGGAGGAGGACGGCCUUCGGGUUGUAAACUCCUUUUGACAAGGAAGAAGAAAGUGACGGUACUUGUCGAAUAAGCCCCGGCUAACUCCGUGCCAGCAGCCGCGGUAAUACGGAGGGGGCGAGCGUUGUCCGAAGUUACUGGGCGUAAAGCGCGCGUAGGCGGGUCUCUAAGUCCGCUGUGAAAGCCCGGGGCUCAACCCCGGAGGGUCGGUGGAGACUGGGGAUCUUGAAGGGGCUAGGGGGGAGUGGAAUUGCCGGUGUAGCGGUGAAAUGCGUAGAGAUCGGCAGGAACACCCGUGGCGAAGGCGGCUCCCUGGGGCCUCCUUGACGCUGAGGCGCGAAAGCUGGGGGAGCGAACGG
This 407-nucleotide ribosomal RNA is filed under the name uncultured bacterium. RNAcentral's name for it is "bacterial SSU rRNA". It matches the Rfam family "Bacterial small subunit ribosomal RNA", at positions 354 to 775 of the family's 1533-position model. The record is from RNAcentral.